This 506-nucleotide ribosomal RNA is filed under the name uncultured bacterium. Its description in RNAcentral is "partial 16S ribosomal RNA". It matches the Rfam family "Bacterial small subunit ribosomal RNA", at positions 29 to 523 of the family's 1533-position model. The record is from RNAcentral.
AUUGAACGCUGGCGGCAGGCCUAACACAUGCAAGUCGGACGGUAGCACAGAGGAGCUUGCUCCUCGGGUGACGAGUGGCGGACGGGUGAGUAAUGUCUGGGGAUCUGCCCGAUAGAGGGGGAUAACCACUGGAAACGGUGGCUAAUACCGCAUAACGUCGCAAGACCAAAGAGGGGGACCUUCGGGCCUCUCACUAUCGGAUGAACCCAGAUGGGAUUAGCUAGCAGGCGGGGUAACGGCCCACCUAGGCGACGAUCCCUAGCUGGCCUGAGAGGAUGACCAGCCACACUGGAACUGAGACACGGUCCAGACUCCUACGGGAGGCAGCAGUGGGGAAUAUUGCACAAUGGGCGCAAGCCUGAUGCAGCCAUGCCGCGUGUAUGAAGAAGGCCUUCGGGUUGUAAAGUACUUUCAGCGGGGAGGAAGGCGAUGUGGUUAAUAACCGCGUCGAUUGACGUUACCCGCAGAAGAAGCACCGGCUAACUCCGUGCCAGCAGCCGCUGUAA